GGGGGAGGGAGCAGGGAGACAAGGAAAUUCUGUCACCGCCGUUAAUACGCACGUGGAGCUGGUGUGAGAGCGGACUGGCUUUAAGGAAGAGCUGUGUGCUUGCACACACAGGCCGCUGGUGACACAGGAGCGAGUAACGGGAUGGACAGCCCACAGAGAGCCCUGUGGCGCAGGUCCAGCACGCCACCCUGGGCGUGCCCUUCCAGGGAGCCCUGGGUUCAAACCCUGCCUCCGCCAAUCUUCAGACCCAGAACCCCAGGAGAGGGAGGGGAGGCGCCGCUGAGGACGUGUGCACCUGGGAGGGCGUCAUCACCCCGUUCUCCAUCUGCAAGAAGUGGCCGCGCACCGCCCACCCCAAACGAUACUGACUCCCAACAUUCGGAUCGCACUGGGAGAUGCCUCAGCAUCAUCUUGGAAAGCAAGCUGGACAGGAUGGAGCGCUAGCCAGUCGGGGCUGAGGAGGAGGAGGAAGAGGAGGCAGGUGCAGAGGGUGUGCG
Long non-coding RNA from Phyllostomus hastatus (greater spear-nosed bat), 497 nucleotides. RefSeq lists it as uncharacterized. The transcript has 4 exons. NCBI's taxonomy places the organism in Eukaryota, Metazoa, Chordata, Mammalia, Chiroptera, Phyllostomidae. The record is from RefSeq and is a predicted model, not a curated record.